This 497-nucleotide ribosomal RNA is filed under the name uncultured bacterium. RNAcentral describes it as "partial 16S ribosomal RNA". It matches the Rfam family "Bacterial small subunit ribosomal RNA", at positions 28 to 507 of the family's 1533-position model. The record is from RNAcentral.
GAUGAACGCUGGCGGCGUGCCUAAUACAUGCAAGUCGAGCGAACAGACGAGGAGCUUGCUCCUCUGACGUUAGCGGCGGACGGGUGAGUAACACGUGGAUAACCUACCUAUAAUACUGGGAGAACUUCGGGAAACCGGAGCUAAUACCGGAUAAUAUAUUGAACCGCAUGGUUCAAUAGUGAAAGACGGUUUUGCUGUCACUUAUAGAUGGAUCCGCGCCGCAUUAGCUAGUUGGUAAGGUAACGGCUUACCAAGGCGACGAUGCGUAGCCGACCUGAGAGGGUGAUCGGCCACACUGGAACUGAGACACGGUCCAGACUCCUACGGGAGGCAGCAGUAGGGAAUCUUCCGCAAUGGGCGAAAGCCUGACGGAGCAACGCCGCGUGAGUGAUGAAGGUCUUCGGAUCGUAAAACUCUGUUAUUAGGGAAGAACAAAUGUGUAAGUAAAUAUGCACGUCUUGACGGUACCUAAUCAGAAAGCCACGGCUAACUACGUG